GUGAGAAAUGGCCAAGCUCCUGACUGUGUUUCUGACACAACUGCUGUUCGGAAAGUCAACUUCAUGCAGCUGCUGCAGUGACACCAGAGACACCUGAGGAAGGAGACCUGCAGUACAUCAGCCUUAGACAUGAAGCAAAGCCCUCAGCAUCCACUGCGAGAACCUCAGCACCUGUUUCGGACAGUGUGACCUACGCAAAAGUCUCAGUACAGGCCAGAAAAAAUGAUCAGCAUGAGAUGUUCAUAAUCACAAAUGUGUUAUUUAGCAAGGUGGACAAGCUUUACAGAACACUGGUAUAACAACUGUUCACAACUCAGUUGGUCAUCAUACCUACAUUUGGAGUGAGCUGUUCAUUUCUAAUGGUAUUCUUGUACAUGUGUGAAA
Molecule: long non-coding RNA, 384 nt
Organism: Pygocentrus nattereri (red-bellied piranha)
Lineage: Eukaryota; Metazoa; Chordata; Actinopteri; Characiformes; Serrasalmidae
Exons: 3
Source: RefSeq, a predicted model, not a curated record